Molecule: long non-coding RNA, 1259 nt
Filed under: Callithrix jacchus (white-tufted-ear marmoset)
Lineage: Eukaryota; Metazoa; Chordata; Mammalia; Primates; Cebidae
Description: lncRNA (ENSCJAG00000078099.1)
Source: RNAcentral
CCGAAGAUAAAAGCUGCUCAAAAUGACUACAGUGCUUCUGACUUUCUUAGUCUGCCCUUCCUCCUAGGGCUCUUUGGAUGAGAUUUAUUUCUCCUUGUUGAAGAAAUUGUUUGCUAGAAUAUAAAAAAUUUAAGGAAGAAUGAAAUACUAAAAUAUAAUUUUCUCCUAAAGAGCACUCAAAAGUAUAAUCCCACCAGUGCUGGAUCUAUUUAUCUCUCUCUCUCUCUCUCUUUUUUUUUUUCUGAGAUAGGCUCUCACUCUGUUACCAAGACUGGAGCACAGUGGUGAGAUCACAGCUCACUGCAGCUUUCAACUCCUGGGCUCAAGUGAUCCUCCCACUUCAGCCUCCCAAGCAGCUGGGAUUACAGGUGCAUGCCACCAUGCCUAAUUUUUAAAAUUUUUUGUAGAGAAGGCCACUAUGUGGCCUAGGCUGGUCUUGAACUCCUAGAUCAAACUAAUCCUCCUGCCUUGGCCCCCAAAGUGCUGGAAUUAUAGGCUUUAGCCACCACACCCCAUCUAUUUAUGUUUGUAUGCACACACACACACACACACACACACCACACAAACACACAUAUAUACACAUAUGUACACAUAUAAAAUCUCAUAUAUUAAAUGUUCCUCCUUAAAUCGCCUCCUACCCACCCAUCUGCAGGGAGAGCAAACACAGGUCUCAGCAGAUCAGGGAAGCUACAUGAAGAAAGGAGGCUGGAGCAAUGCCAGAGACCAGGCUAAAGGAGGUUUUCUCUUUAGGAGUCCUCUCUCACUUCACCCUGCUUAACACAAGACUUCACACACAAAGAGAAUGGAGACAGCCCUGCUUCAGGACAUGCUACAGAGACAGAACUGACUGUCCCAAAAACAGAGGGCUCCACACCCCUCUGACAACUCCACAAUGGACCAGCUACACACAAAUGCCUGAAGUAAGGAAGUCCAUUAAGAAAAUGAACAGUUGGUGAGAUCAAGACUUCUGACCCAAAGGGCCUGCAGCUGGUCUGAUGAUUCAUCAAAAAGUCUGAAUUUAAAUGGAGACAUAUUGGACUGUGACAUGUAAUAAAAGAACUGAAGCAGCAAAGUGUCUUGGUUUGGGUUUUCUUUCCACUGUAUACAGCUCCAAUGAAUAGAGAAGUGAGCACGCCUGUGGUACUCCUGACACAUCUGGGAUAGUUCCCAUCCACAGUGGUUGGCCUUUGGGAUUAUGCACACAUUGCAGGGUCAUUGCCCAUCUGUGCUAACCUAGAAUGUCACAUAAAAGCCCUGCU